Molecule: long non-coding RNA, 339 nt
Filed under: Hordeum vulgare
Lineage: Eukaryota; Viridiplantae; Streptophyta; Magnoliopsida; Poales; Poaceae
Description: long non-coding RNA (HVUL_LNC015707)
Source: RNAcentral
UCUCCUUACCGGUAAGUCUCUUUAAUCGUUCCGUAGUACGUCAUCGUGUGACUAACUCCUUAGUCACAUUGAGCUCAUGAUGAUGUUCUAUCGAGUGGGCCUAGAGAUACCUCUCCGUCACACGGAGUGACAAAUCCCGAUCUCGAUUCGUGCCAACCCAACAGAUACUUCCGGAGGUACCCAUAGUGCACCUUUAUAGUCACCCAGUUACGUUGUGACGUUUGAUACACCCAAAGCACUCCUACGGUCUCCGGGAGUUGCACAAUCUCACGGUCGAAGGAAAAGACACUUGACAUUAGAAAAGCUUUAGCAUACGAACAAUACGAUCUAGUGCUAUGC